RNAcentral lists this transfer RNA (72 nucleotides) under Heterocephalus glaber (naked mole-rat). It matches the Rfam family "tRNA". Rfam says of the family: Transfer RNA (tRNA) molecules are approximately 80 nucleotides in length. The record is from Rfam by way of RNAcentral. Lineage: Eukaryota; Metazoa; Chordata; Mammalia; Rodentia; Bathyergidae.
UGGGGUGCAGCUCUGUGGUAGAGAGCGAGCUCAGCAUGCCUGAAGCCCUAGGUUCGAUUCCUAGCACCUCCA